Alexandromys fortis (reed vole) is the source of this 1036-nucleotide long non-coding RNA. RefSeq lists it as uncharacterized. The record is from RefSeq and is a predicted model, not a curated record. The transcript has 5 exons. NCBI's taxonomy places the organism in Eukaryota, Metazoa, Chordata, Mammalia, Rodentia, Cricetidae.
UCUGGCCUGAGCCAUUGGGUUGAUGACACGUCAGGGCUUUGUCUGGCACCGUAUAUAUUCUUCUGUUUCAUGGGGACGGGGUCUUUUUCCUCUCUACAACCUCAAGUGUAAGUGCUCCAAUAAAGUGUGUUCUGAGAAGAAUCCUGUUGCAGUCGUCUCUUCUGCUGGCGGGAGCGGCGUGCUGCAAUGAAGCCUACCUUUCCCUCUAUAAACAGUUAUGAUGUGGAAACCACUGCUUAGAAAGAAAAACGACUUCCUUGAGGAUCUCAGAAUGAGGUGUUGAAGGACCCUGGUUUGUUUCUGCCUGAGAGAUGUAACUUCUCUCUGGGGCCCAGCCUGGGGCAUCCUGAAUGAAGGAUUUCUCAUUACUGUGACAAAAUGUCCGACAAGGGGCAGCUUGAGGAAGAAGAGCUUAUUGUGGCUCACAGUUUGUGAGCACAGUUCAUGGUGGUGGGGAAGGCUUGGUGGCAGGAGCGUGAGGCAGCUGCUCACAUGGCAUCCACAGUCAGGAAGUAGAGAGAGAUGAUGCUGGUGCUCAGCUCUCAGUCUCCCCUCUUCAUUCGGCCCAGGACGCCAGCCCAUGGAAGGAAGUUAAAGUGGCUCUUCCCAUCUGAACUAACCGGUCUAGACAAUCCCCCAGACAUGCCCACAGGUCCGUCUGAUCUGGAAACUAGCAAUGGGUUCUCUCUGGGCAAUGACUUCCAGCUAAAUGACAAGAGAAACUUCUGCAUUGGGGAACAAAGGAGGAAGACUAUGAAUCUAACUGAAAAUAUGCAUGCUCCUGAGGAAUAACAAGCAUUGAAGAAACCGUAGAGCAGACGGAAAGAACGGAAAGAACGAUGCCUUCCAGCGCCGGGGAGCUGAUGAGGAACGCCGAGGGCCCAGGGCUUCGGAGUAGCUGGCAUUUCUUUUUCUCUUGACAGGGCUGCUGACAGGCCCUUUAGCAGUACAGAGGCUAAUUACUCGCCAGGAGUGAGCGAAAAUGUGCCGUUUGGUUGUUCUGGAGCUUCCCAGGGCAAUAAAUCACAGCCGCGGA